AUGUCGGCGUGCGAACACAUCAUUCGGUGUUCUGAUUGUUCAAGAAAAAUCACUCUAGAUCUUCAGAACUCUUUGUCUUAGCCAAGGACUGAAACACAACAUUAGAAAUGAAACAUCAGUGCGCCAAGGAAAACUGUUUUCAUUAUUCAACAUAGUUUCCUUCGACAAUGG
Tigriopus californicus is the source of this 171-nucleotide long non-coding RNA. RefSeq lists it as uncharacterized. The record is from RefSeq and is a predicted model, not a curated record. Lineage: Eukaryota; Metazoa; Arthropoda; Copepoda; Harpacticoida; Harpacticidae. The transcript has 3 exons.